AGCGAGUUGGCGCAGCGGAACGCGCGUUGGGCUCAUAACCCAAAGGUCGAAGGUUCGAUCCCUUCACUCGCUA
RNAcentral lists this transfer RNA (73 nucleotides) under Marseillevirus LCMAC103. RNAcentral's name for it is "tRNA-Met". It matches the Rfam family "tRNA". From Rfam's summary of the family: Transfer RNA (tRNA) molecules are approximately 80 nucleotides in length. The record is from RNAcentral. Lineage: Varidnaviria; Bamfordvirae; Nucleocytoviricota; Megaviricetes; Pimascovirales; Marseilleviridae.